Molecule: ribosomal RNA, 377 nt
Filed under: uncultured bacterium
Lineage: Bacteria
Description: bacterial SSU rRNA
Rfam family: Bacterial small subunit ribosomal RNA
Source: RNAcentral
AUUGAACGCUGGCGGCAUGCCUUACACAUGCAAGUCGAACGGCAGCAUGGGUGCUUGCACCUGAUGGCGAGUGGCGAACGGGUGAGUAAUGCAUCGGAACGUACCCGGAAGUGGGGGAUAACGUAGCGAAAGUUCGCUAAUACCGCAUAUUCUGUGAGCAGGAAAGCGGGGAUCGCAAGACCUCGCGCUUCCGGAGCGGCCGAUGUCGGAUUAGCUAGUUGGCGGGGUAAAGGCCCACCAAGGCAACGAUCCGUAGCGGGUCUGAGAGGAUGAUCCGCCACACUGGGACUGAGACACGGCCCAGACUCCUACGGGAGGCAGCAGUGGGGAAUUUUGGACAAUGGGGGCAACCCUGAUCCAGCCAUGCCGCGUGAGUG